This 252-nucleotide ribosomal RNA is filed under the name uncultured bacterium. RNAcentral describes it as "partial 16S ribosomal RNA". It matches the Rfam family "Bacterial small subunit ribosomal RNA", at positions 524 to 776 of the family's 1533-position model. The record is from RNAcentral.
UACGGAGGAUGCGAGCGUUAUCCGGAUUUAUUGGGUUUAAAGGGUGCGUAGGCGGGCUUUUAAGUCAGCGGUAAAAAUUCGGGGCUCAACCCCGUCCGGCCGUUGAAACUGGGGGUCUUGAGUGGGCGAGAAGGAGGCGGAAUGCGUGGUGUAGCGGUGAAAUGCAUAGAUAUCACGCAGAACCCCGAUUGCGAAGGCAGCCUUCCGGCGCCCUACUGACGCUGAGGCACGAAAGUGCGGGGAUCGAACAGG